CUUGAACGCUGGCGGCAGGCCUAACACAUGCAAGUCGAGCGAGCGGCGGACGGGUGAGUAAUGUAUGGGGACUGCCCGAUAGAGGGGGAUAACUACUGGAAACGGUAGCUAAUACCGCAUACUAUCGGAUAACCCAUAUGGGAUUAGCUAGUAGGUGAGGUAAUGGCUCACCUAGGCGACGAUCCCUAGCUGGUAUGAGAGGAUGAUCAGCAACUCUGGGACUGAGACACGGCCUAGGCUCCUACGGCGGCAGCAGUGGGGAAUAUUGCACAAUGUGCGCAAGCCUGAUGCAGCCAGGCCGCUUGUAUGAAGAAGGCCCUAGGGCUGUAACGUACUUUCAGUCGGGAGGCGUUACCGACAGAAGAAGCACCGGCUAACUACGUGCCAGCAGCCGCGGUAAUAC
RNAcentral lists this ribosomal RNA (403 nucleotides) under uncultured bacterium. RNAcentral describes it as "partial 16S ribosomal RNA". It matches the Rfam family "Bacterial small subunit ribosomal RNA", at positions 30 to 526 of the family's 1533-position model. The record is from RNAcentral.